Non-coding RNA from Ictidomys tridecemlineatus (thirteen-lined ground squirrel), 71 nucleotides. NCBI's taxonomy places the organism in Eukaryota, Metazoa, Chordata, Mammalia, Rodentia, Sciuridae. The record is from Rfam.
GGGGUUGUAGCUCAGUGGGAGAGCACUCACCUAGCAUACGUGAGGCACUGGGUUUGAUUCUCAGCACCCCA